Molecule: long non-coding RNA, 8973 nt
Organism: Bombus impatiens (common eastern bumble bee)
Lineage: Eukaryota; Metazoa; Arthropoda; Insecta; Hymenoptera; Apidae
Exons: 3
Source: RefSeq, a predicted model, not a curated record
CGAGCAGCGACGAACGAGGAUGCGCUCGAGCGCGUAGCCUGUGCCGCACUCUCAGUUUAUCCCCACUACCAACUAUGAUCGGCAUCCGGUGGUAACUGAGGCGCGCAUUCGCAAGCAUUUCUGCUCGCUGAUUGGUGCAUAGCCGUUGCUACUUGGCCUGCCAUUGGUCGAUUGCACACCACGAAUUCCCGCGGCGUUCACUAUCCAUGGGACACACAACACACACGUAGGAAGCACACGAGGCCACUCUCGAUCUUACACGAACGAUAUUCAGCGAGGACACCGCGCACACGACUAUCCACGUACACAUACACAAACACACACAACUGUACAUGUUUGUAUAUUGUACACACGUGCAUGUAUAUUACUACUUGCGAGCUUUUGUACGCACACGUAUAGACGGCACCGACGUAUUUUUGCGUGCGCAUGUAUUGGAAGAUUCCGCACGCCCGCGCUUCGCUACGGUCGUAUGAUGGUCGAACAGGAACUGGCUACAAGCCGCGCGGAAACGCGCUACUUAUGCUGCCGAUGGGAAGAAAACCGACGAAUCAAGGCAGUCUUUAUACCCGCCGCCUUUGGACUCCAUGCUACAGGUCCAAAAGGCCAUCGUGUAGUAUACGCUUCUCAAACGUGAAUACGGAGAUGGACGUCAGCCAAUCCCUUUUCCUGCUAUGCGCAAAAUCAUGAAAAAUAUUUAGCCUAAUAGCGUCUAUGCGAAUUUGUCUUUUUUCCUUACCAGUGUUCGCUCGAGGAUGUUCCAAUAACCAGGUUACCGCGUUUUGCUAUUACUACUUACGCUGAAAACACCGUCGAACCUUUGACCCAUUUUUCUAUCGAUCUUCCAUGUUUCGCAUAUAGGGCACACCGUAAUGGCCUCCGAUCAUCAAAGAUUCGCUCCUCCAGAGAUCUACGUAACCAUUAGACGCACGCACGAUCGUUGAUGUUACGUAACGCGCGAUAUUCCUUAAAACGACUGGAAUUAUGUAAAUAAUGUAAUGUUUUUUCUCUUCGUUUGAAACACAACAAAUCGACAAUUAAAAACAUAAAAGCGUAAUAUCGUUAUACGAAUGCAAAAGUCGAUGAUCACAUAUUAUCCGAGAACACGAGAAAUCGGAGAAAAUAAAAAUUUGCCAAUUGACGUUAGCAAGUGCAAAGAAGAGAAGAUUAGACAUUGAGUUAAAAAUUGAGUCGAUCUUUACUAUCCAAACAUUAAAUGCGAGAGAACGGUGCUACGCGAAUAGCGGUUAGUCGAUUAACGAAACUCGCGCGCACAGGGAAGAGGAAGGGGUGGUGGCUCGGUAGAACAUUGGAACUCGACUUGGUCGUCCUAUUUCUACGCUCGGGAAGGUUCGUGCCGCGAACCGAUCGCGCACGAAGCAACGGGGAUAUAAGUAGGUCGUUUCAAGCGCACGUGUCGUCCUUGACUCACAUAGCAUGGCGCGCAGGCGCUCACCGUUGCCGCAUUGCUGGUCGCUAGGGCUUUUUCUUUGUUCGUCGAGCGCGCGUGUGUUCGCGCGGAACACCAAGACGCGCUCUCUUAUGAAUACACCGUGUGCGUGACUAUUGCUCACACGCACUACUCUAUGCACUCUGCAAAAUGAGCCAGCGGCUUCACGUCAUCUAUCUAUCGCGUCCAAUUUUCUCUACUAUGCUUUUACCACAUGAAUUUAUUUGUUUCGAUUAAUUAUUUCCAGAAGCUCUUACCUUUUUAUACGUUAACUCGUUUGAAAAAGGGACGUUAACCAACAGUGCAGCGACUGAGAUAGGUACGUUAAAACGUUCGAUUCUUUCUUUGCAUCGUUUCUUUAGCGAGACUGUUCGUAUACAAAAUUUAUUUCCUCUUACGUAACGCGGCGAUAGAAGGUUCAAGAAAGUGUCACGAUAGAGCACGUAAAGGAUUCUGUGGAUGGACGAGCGAUAUAGUGCGAGGUCGAGACAAUGGUAAGGCGGCGCGUUGUGCAACUUUCAAGGAGAAUGAGCAGCACGCGUGUCAUGCGUUCCUGCGUGUUCGUGGACGCAUAUGCGCACGCUCGAUGAUAAUCGACAGAAAGAGAAAGGUCAUCGGGGGAAUGGAGUUUCGCUUCCUCUUCCUCGUUGCGAUUACGAGUAGGUAAGCGGGUAUCCGAAAUUGCGGAGAGUGACGCAACGCGCAGCUGUAUGUAUAAAUUCACGUACAUACGAGCAUUCACGGACACGUAGUGCUUGCGAGUGUGUACAUUUACGUGCGUGUACAUACGUAGAUAAAGUACUGGAUAUGCCGGCGGAAGCACGGUACUGCACGACAACGAACUACGUUUUUCAUGCAAUUAAGAAUUCGUCCAGCAGCUGCUUUCGUUUAAAUUAAAAUAUUCGAUAGCUUUUAUCGCAUUAUAGGUUCAAAAAAUAGAUCGCCUCUGGGAAAUAAAGGCAUUACAUAUAUAUAAGAAUUCGCUAUAGGUCUUUCGAUUCUUCGUAUAUGAAAUUUCAAUGAAAUUCGAUCCGAAUGGGAUAUGUAACUUGCAUUAUUAACGCUGCGUUAAUCGAUACGAUCAUUUUUUCUUCGAAAUUGCAUAACCGUGCGGCGAUUACAAGGAAUUCUAGCACAUUCUGUGGUAAGUUGGUAUGUAUCGCGCGGUUGAUGGGAGAGCAGACUUCGUGAUUCGCUGUAUAGCCAAGGACAGUGACGCUUCACGAUGAGACCUGUGUGAGAAGUCGGUAGUCCGCGUUAGCUUUGGCAUCGUGGGUAUUGAUCGCAACGGGAACUCAAAGGGGAGGACACCACGUUAGGCUAUUCGAACCCCAAUUGGAUCGACCUAUCUCGUGGUAGGGAACGAAGGGGAGGGUGGUUGCAUCGUGGUCUAUGUCAACCAAACACUUAUAUUUUAAUUCCGUUCUUAUACGUGGAAAUUAUCGAGUGUUGGUUUACUCGUGUACGACCGAAUCGCGACGCAUUCUUGUCAGAUGUAUUUUUGGCGUGCGCGUUUCGCAGAAAUUUAUCGAGGAUUUCAGUGCGAUGAUUGCCGUUACUUACAAAGACCUUGGGCGUUCAUUUUUCUCAACGGGGAAAUAAACGAUAGCAGUGACCCAAAUUUUUUCAACAAACGACCGGGUUUGUGUAAUUUCUGCCGACACUUUUCGCCGCGUUAUGGAAAUAAUUAGCGCGAGAGACGCGAAGAAUUCACGACCUCCGCUUGAUAAACGCUGGACACGCCAUCGUGCGUGGCUAUUACGCAACACGAUUCUUUAAUAACAAUACAUCGUCUCUACAAUGAAGCAAUUAUGAUGAAGUAAAUGCGAGGAGAAACAAAUUAGGAAUUAUAUACAUCUGAUAAAUAUGUACGUUGUGUAUGUAUGCUGUGAUCUACCUACGCGGAGGAUGUUCGAAUGUUACUGACAAAUAUCUAUCGUGUGUAUAACCUCUGUGAAUAACCUAUGUUAAAGAAAGAAAAUUGUCUCGGUCGAUGAAUUAGGCAACUAUAACUCGAGAGAAUAUCCAAUACGGUUCCGAGAUACUCUACAAAUUAAUUUUUUUCGAGGAGUUUACAUUUUCGACGAAUUACUGACGAUGAAACGCAAAUAAAAAUAUACUUAUGAGCGGGAGACAUGCGCGAAAUAGUUCGCCAUUUACAACGGCCAAUAAAGUUCGGAGAAGUCGCGUCGCGGUGUACCGAUCCGAUUUAACGCACAUACUUUUCUGUUGUUAGAGGUAGCUCGCAUGCCAACGUUCUUCAGAUAAGCACAUUCUUAUCUGCGUACGUACUUACGUAAGCAACGCCUCGUAUAAACCUUUGCUUGGCUUCGCGCCCCUUUUUCUUCUUCCGUCCUCUCCCUGCAUUUGCAACUUUUUCUCCUUCGUUUCUCUCGCGUUUUGUUUCUUUCUGCUUUCCCUCUUUCGCGUUCCCUUUCACCCUACACGUUUCAAUCUUCUUCUUCGGUACACUUCACUUCAGAAUAGUAUUUCACUGUGAAACGUAGCUCCUUCUCCCACGAUUUCUUUCCACUGCUUCCUUUCUUUCGAAUAUUUUCCUCCAUUUUUCUCUCUCGUGACAGUCGAUCGUUCGCGAAAGUACGCGUUACGUCUUUGACAAGUUCAUUACUUUAAAAGAGGUUAGGAAUCGAAUCGGUUCCGAGCUCGGAAGAUUUAGAUAGCGAAGGUUUGGUUAGUGUAUUCUGAUGCGGAAUAGUCACGUGGACUGACGCGUGCUGGAAACAGCCAGAAGAUGCGAAAGGCGUGUUCUUAUCGAAACGCUAAACUGCAUCUUUUCAUGCACAAUUGCGUCAUGAUUCAUACUGUCGUUAAAAAUGUAAAAUGUUUCACGAUGGCGAUCGUAGUUCCCUUCGUUCGUAUUACUCGUGGUUAGAUAGGUUACACGUAGUAUUGCAAAUAUCGUUAACUUCGAAUCCAAUCGAAAAUUUCGAAAAAUACGAAUAUUAUAGAAGCGAAAGGAUGCAAUUUCGUCGAAUGAAACGACGUGUUAUCGCGCAUGAUAUCGAUUGACCCGUUCUAACUGCAAUAUUCUGACGCGUAAAAUGGUCGUUGCGAAAGACAGAAGGGUAACCGAGCAGAUGGUCGGAAUGGCUCGUCGCACGAUCUCGCCGUUAUCGGUGGAUUGGAAAUGAACCACGCGCAAGUAAAUACAAGUUGGAAAGUGACGAUCGUUGCUGAUUUAUCAGCGGAACGCCGCGCAUUCGAGGAAGCCGAGGUAAAUCGACGAAUGAACCUUGGGGCUCUUGUUACUUGCUUCGUUCCUUUGUUACACAACCGGCUCUCUCGCCAACUCGGCCAACUAUCGACCCCACCAACUUUGUUCUCGCUCUGCUCCCCUUUUCUUCCGUCUUCUAGUGCUCUCUCUUUCUCUCUCUCCGUCUCUUUGUCUCUUUCUCUCUCUCUCUCUCUCUCUCUUCCUCUUUCUUGGGUGAACACUCGCUCUUUUCUCUCUCGUGCUCCCCUCAGUCUCUUUUAUUCCAACCCCAUCUUUCUAUUCCUUCCUUCCUUUUUUGACAACCUCCAUCCUCCGUCCUUUCUGUUGUCUGUCCUUUCUCUCUGAACCUAUUCCCCUGUGUCACGUACUCACUGUCAAAGUUAGGCGUUAUUGAAAGAAACUGGCGUACGGACAAUUAUGAAAAUAAAGCUUGCGCUUAAUAGAAUAUUUGGUGUCCUUCGAUCGAUCAUCUCUAGGAUCAAACGAUGCAUAGGAAAAAUGAGAAUUUUCUAUUGAAAUUUCAUUCGUUCAAGUGGAGCGCCGUUUUGAGGUCAGUGUGACAAAGGAGAUAUCAAGAUCGUGUUCUCUUUUCAAGAUCGUCUGUAUAUUUUUAAAUACAUAAAUGCUAUCUUUAAAUACAUGAAUGUUUAAUUUUCUGGCACUCGGAUUGAAGAAAAGCCAAGACUAAAAAAAGUGUGUUCCGCAGUGCGGCUGUCGUAUCCCACGAAAUUUGUCAACCUUUGUACGUACGUACAACAUAGCUUGGACGCUAUAGCAGGAGCGCGAACAGUUCGAUUAUUAAAUUAUUUGAAUACUCGUUAUCUUGGUUAGCGUGUACUCGUUACGUGGUUGGACAGUGACAUGAAAUACGACAUUUUUCUGUCUCGUUGCGACAUUACCACGAUAAGUGGAAGUUUUUAAAUCCGAGAACGAAGAUACAUUCGUCUCCGUUAUUCUGGCAACCAAAGCGUAAUUUGUAAUUAGCGCGUAACAGCGGCAACACGUUUAACGUUACAUUUCCACUUCUCUAUGGAAAUUCCAAUUUUCAUUGAUCGUCCGAUUUACUCGAAUAUUUGCCUGAGACGCGAGAUAUAAAAAAUCCCACAUGCUUAUAUAGAAUUCUGUGUUCUUCGUUCGCCCUGAAAAAUUCCAUUCUUUUUCGCGAUUCGCUCCAGCUUCCCCUUCGCCAACCCUCUGCAUCUUGCGCGUCUCUACCCUCGCUAUCUAUUUCCGUCUCUCUCCAUCGAGUUUCUUCUUUACGAUUUCGUCAAGUUGCCACCCAUUCUUCCCGAAUUUUCUUCGUUGGCCUCGAACAUGUCUUUCCCCCUAGGUCGGCUUUUCUGUCCCUCACGGUAAUCUACGUCCGUCUUUUUUUCGUGAGCGUCUGACGGACCCAAGGGACGCGUGGUGGGGGGCCACGUGCUCCCGGUACCUAGUCACGCGAGGAUAGGACACGUGGUACGUACGUAUGUCCGUUCGGAUGCAUAGGCGUGGAAACGUGUUCUUUGUUGGAGCCGCGCAGCCGCCUCGUCUCGCCUAAGUACACGCGUAUAUACGUACACGUAUCUAGAUCACGUGGGAUUUUCCACGAAAGUUGAUGCAGUCGGAACGCGACAGCCGAAAAACACGUCGAUGCUUAAAUGUCGCAUUGCGAAAAAAAGGAGCAUGAGAUGGUGCUAGCACACUGCUGCCUGGGCUACGUACUUCGAUUGUACGAUCUCGCGUGCCCAAUGCUUAAGCUUGAAUUUUCAAAGAAGAAGAAUACGUUUUACGGGAAUUAUGAGAUAUUCUCGGUAGCUUUUAAGGCUACCAGGAAGAAGCAAGUUUCUAAACAUUUGCAAUCCGAUAUCAAUUUUUUCUACAGAUAUGUACAUUUCGUACCAGAUAGAUCGUCACAUGCUCUUGAAUGUGUCACCUUUUAUCUUAUCACGGGCAACACGUGUAUGAGUAUAAAAGCAAAUGUUGUAGUUUUAUUCGUGCGUGCGAUCGGUUUACACGUGCGUCAGCUACGAAAAGAACGUUCUACGCGGUUAUCACUUUCAUCGUUUCCUGCUUUGCCAUUAUACGUUCGAAACAUCGAUGCAGCUUAGCGUGCAGCUUAAGCUCUUCAAAAUCUGAUGAAAAUCUUUCUAUGUUAUUUCGAACGUCGCUGCAAGACUCGAUCCUGCAGGAGCUUGGAAAAAGAGUAAACUAUAUGAAAAAAGAAGAAAAAAGGGAAUAGUAAAAAAGAGCGACGAUAGAAUUCUAGUACUCGAUUGUUAAUCGAGUGGUUGGUUGUCGGCCGUGCACAGCGGCUGGCUGGCCAGCUGCACUUGACUCUCCUAUGCAAGAUAAAUAGGUGCGGCUGGUUCCUAUUAAUAGCGGGUGGUUUACGCGGCGAUUGCAGUGUACGGGCUUACAAUUAGCGUAACUCGCCAGCGGUUCGCAUUAGAUUAAAAAUCAUUCGUGCUGUAAAUUCUAUCCACUUAUGUAAUGAUAUCCGUGCAAGUAUAAAAGAGUUAGCGAACAUCUUGCUACACAGUCCGUUCACUCGUCCACUGGUUACGGUACGGAGGAAAAACCGUGAAACGUUGAAACGCAGUGGCAGCGCUUUCGAAACGAUAAUUUACGACGAUGGGUGGUAACUCGAGGACCUAUAAAAUCUCGCUAAAAUUCUAAAACUGGUCCCUAAACACCUGUUUUCUAUCUCUGACACUCGAUCUCUGUUUCGUAAAUGUCGAUGCUCGUUCGGCUGACGAUCGAACACUGUGUCAGGAAGUAAGUUGUCCGUGUUGUUUCUAUGUAUAAAACGUAUGGCGAAAUUCAGCGCGUUAAACGGAGGCACGAAAAGCGGAUAAAAGGCGGCCGAGGAAAAAGAGAGAGGGACGGGAUUAAAGGCGAAGCAUCGAGUACGUGAUAAUGUGCGUUUGCUCGAUAAAUCUCUAAUCGAUAUACGUGUUUCGUAUGUGCAUUGUACUAUUCGAGCUUGAACUAGGCAAAGAGCAGAAUGUAGGCGAGAAACGAGGAGGAGGUGUGGAGGUGGGGAUCAAACAAAAUCCGGUAUAGGCGGGCAACGACCUUUAGGCACGUGCCCCGUGCCACGUGCUGCAUUCGACAAACUGUCGAACGGCCUUUUGCCUUUUUUAUCUCUGUUCGUUUCUGUUUUCACCUCGUUUCGCUUAAAAUUUUCGUCUGGCUCCGUGUUAUCUCGACCGCGUCGCGAUUUCCUUUUAUCGACCGUACCGUAAUACGAAACAGGACCGGUCCAGAUACUGGCAUUCGCUAUUUAUGGCCGUGUCAGUAUCGAAGAAAGAGGUUGAAACUGCGUCCGGAGUCUGUAAAUAGUCAACUCUGACAAUCUCCUUGCCUCUUGUUCCCCCCUCCCCCUCUGUUCCUCUCUUUCGUACGCAAUACUAUCGCGUACUAUUUCUGCACUGCUCUUUGUUGUGAUAGAAGAGAAAACGAAGGAAAAACGAUAACCGAGAACGUAGAAGCGGAAAAAUUUGUCUUGCGAUAGGUCGAACGUAAUUGGCGUAAUCGAGUCGUGCGAUCGUAAGAUCGUUGCCAAUCGAAAAACUGCCGAUACUCUGCUCUUCGUUCGUAGUAUACGCGUACAGCAAACUUACGAAGGCUUACGAAGAUACUACGGCAAGUGCAGUGUUAUUAAUUAUCGCAAGUUAUUAGCAAUAAGCGCGAUUAAUCAUGGUUUUCAGGCUUUUUCACGGUUUCUUUGCUUUUGCUUUUAUGGUCAGCCUUUUAUGGCCCGUUUAUUCCGUGCAACGCGGAUCAAAGGAUCGACGAUAUCUCAGCUACUCGGAAAUCGCUUUCAAUUUAAAAUAUGGAGAAUGUUAUCGUUUAACGAGCGCUAGACGUGCAUGGUAAAUUGCAGACGAUGAAACUAGUUCUCAAGUUUUUCAUAUCGUUAUCUUUAUGUACUGGCGGAUUAUAUGGGCGUGAGUUGCGUGAAAGAUAAUAGCUCAUUUUCCAAUCUCGCGAUGCGAUAAAAGAUACAAGCAAUUAACAUUACAUAAUUACACGUGGAGAGGGAUUAAUUCAUAGGUGUAAUAUUUCUCUACGCUCGGUUUUCCAUCUAUCAAACACGUUUCCAACCUACGUAAAUAACAAUGGAAACGAACGAAGCUAAGAAAAAUCCUCCUACCAAGGCAAGUUUGUUUUCGAAAUUUAAAAAUAAGCGCAAAAGGAAAAAAAAAAGAAACAAAUACGUUACGUAGAACGAUAUCGCGAUUUAGCCGGAGACGCGCAAUUAUUUGAUAUCGUUGAUAAAAUAAACGUAAGAUUAAUCCUUUCCUAU